Molecule: ribosomal RNA, 479 nt
Filed under: uncultured bacterium
Lineage: Bacteria
Description: partial 16S ribosomal RNA
Rfam family: Bacterial small subunit ribosomal RNA
Source: RNAcentral
GAUGAACGCUGGCGGCGUGCUUAACACAUGCAAGUCGAACGAAGCACCUUGAUUUGAUUCUUCGGAUGAAGAUCUUGGUGACUGAGUGGCGGACGGGUGAGUAACGCUUGGGUAACCUGCCUCAUACAGGGGGAUAACAGUUAGAAAUGACUGCUAAUACCGCAUAAGACCACAGCACCGCAUGGUGCAGGGGUAAAAACUCCGGUGGUAUGAGAUGGACCCGCGUCUGAUUAGGUAGUUGGUGGGGUAACGGCCUACCAAGCCGACGAUCAGUAGCCGACCUGAGAGGGUGACCGGCCACAUUGGGACUGAGACACGGCCCAAACUCCUACGGGAGGCAGCAGUGGGGAAUAUUGCACAAUGGGGGAAACCCUGAUGCAGCGACGCCGCGUGAGCGAUGAAGUAUUUCGGUAUGUAAAGCUCUAUCAGCAGGGAAGAAAAUGACGGUACCUGACUAAGAAGCACCGGCUAAAUACGUG